CGAACCGACUAAUGUUGAAAAAUUAGCGGAUGAUCUGUGGCUGGGGGUGAAAGGCCAAUCAAACCGGGAGAUAGCUGGUUCUCCCCGAAAGCUAUUUAGGUAGCGCCUCGUGAAUUCAUCUCCGGGGGUAGAGCACUGUUUCGGCUAGGGGGCCAUCCCGGCUUACCAACCCGAUGCAAACUGCGAAUACCGGAGAAUGUUAUCACGGGAGACACACGGCGGGUGCUAACGUCCGUCGUGAAGAGGGAAACAACCCAGACCGCCAGCUAAGGUCCCAAAGUCAUGGUUAAGUGGGAAACGAUGUGGGAAGGCCCAGACAGCCAGGAUGUUGGCUUAGAAGCAGCCAUCAUUUAAAGAAAGCGUAAUAGCUCACUGGUCGAGUCGGCCUGCGCGGAAGAUGUAACGGGGCUAAACCAUGCACCGAAGCUGCGGCAGCGAACGUAUCACCCAAGACAACUUUACGGAGUUGACGAUUGACGGAGCGAAGCGACGUCAAAGCGUUCAUUAAAGUCGAGUUGGCUUAGGGAUACGUUCGUUGGGUAGGGGAGCGUUCUGUAAGCCUGUGAAGGUGUGUCGUGAGGCAUGCUGGAGGUAUCAGAAGUGCGAAUGCUGACAUAAGUAACGAUAAAGCGGGUGAAAAGCCCGCUCGCCGGAAGACCAAGGGUUCCUGUCCAACGUUAAUCGGGGCAGGGUGAGUCGACCCCUAAGGCGAGGCCGAAAGGCGUAGUCGAUGGGAAACGGGUUAAUAUUCCCGUACUUGGUGUUACUGCGAAGGGGGGACGGAGAAGGCUAUGUUGGCCGGGCGACGGUUGUCCCGGUUUAAGCGUGUAGGUGUGUGUUCCAGGUAAAUCCGGUUCACUUUAACACUGAGGCGUGACGACGAGGCACUACGGUGCUGAAGCAACAAAUGCCCUGCUUCCAGGAAAAGCCUCUAAGCAUCAGGUAACAUCAAAUCGUACCCCAAACCGACACAGGUGGUCAGGUAGAGAAUACCAAGGCGCUUGAGAGAACUCGGGUGAAGGAACUAGGCAAAAUGGUGCCGUAACUUCGGGAGAAGGCACGCUGACACGUAGGUGAAGUGAUUUACUCAUGGAGCUGAAGUCAGUCGAAGAUACCAGCUGGCUGCAACUGUUUAUUAAAAACACAGCACUGUGCAAACACGAAAGUGGACGUAUACGGUGUGACGCCUGCCCGGUGCCGGAAGGUUAAUUGAUGGGGUCAGCGCAAGCGAAGCUCCUGAUCGAAGCCCCGGUAAACGGCGGCCGUAACUAUAACGGUCCUAAGGUAGCGAAAUUCCUUGUCGGGUAAGUUCCGACCUGCACGAAUGGCGUAAUGAUGGCCAGGCUGUCUCCACCCGAGACUCAGUGAAAUUGAACUCGCUGUGAAGAUGCAGUGUACCCGCGGCAAGACGGAAAGACCCCGUGAACCUUUACUAUAGCUUGACACUGAACAUUGAGCCUUGAUGUGUAGGAUAGGUGGGAGGCUUUGAAGUGUGGACGCCAGUCUGCAUGGAGCCGACCUUGAAAUACCACCCUUUAAUGUUUGAUGUUCUAACGUGGACCCGUAAUCCGGGUUGCGGACAGUGUCUGGUGGGUAGUUUGACUGGGGCGGUCUCCUCCUAAAGAGUAACGGAGGAGCACGAAGGUUGGCUAAUCCUGGUCGGACAUCAGGAGGUUAGUGCAAUGGCAUAAGCCAGCUUGACUGCGAGCGUGACGGCGCGAGCAGGUGCGAAAGCAGGUCAUAGUGAUCCGGUGGUUCUGAAUGGAAGGGCCAUCGCUCAACGGAUAAAAGGUACUCCGGGGAUAACAGGCUGAUACCGCCCAAGAGUUCAUAUCGACGGCGGUGUUUGGCACCUCGAUGUCGGCUCAUCACAUCCUGGGGCUGAAGUAGGUCCCAAGGGUAUGGCUGUUCGCCAUUUAAAGUGGUACGCGAGCUGGGUUUAGAACGUCGUGAGACAGUUCGGUCCCUAUCUGCCGUGGGCGCUGGAGAACUGAGGGGGGCUGCUCCUAGUACGAGAGGACCGGAGUGGACGCAUCACUGGUGUUCGGGUUGUCAUGCCAAUGGCACUGCCCGGUAGCUAAAUGCGGAAGAGAUAAGUGCUGAAAGCAUCUAAGCACGAAACUUGCCCCGA
This 2131-nucleotide ribosomal RNA is filed under the name Salmonella enterica subsp. enterica serovar Typhimurium. Its description in RNAcentral is "partial 23S ribosomal RNA". It matches the Rfam family "Bacterial large subunit ribosomal RNA", at positions 775 to 2802 of the family's 2925-position model. Lineage: Bacteria; Pseudomonadati; Pseudomonadota; Gammaproteobacteria; Enterobacterales; Enterobacteriaceae. The record is from RNAcentral.